UACCCUUGACAUGUCCUGGAGGCCCCUGAAAGGGGGCUGUGCCCGAAAGGGAACGGGAACACAGGUGCUGCAUGGCUGUCGUCAGCUCGUGUCGUGAGAUGUUGGGUUAAGUCCCGCAACGAGCGCAACCCUUGUCAUUAGUUGCUACAUUCAGUUGGGCACUCUAAUGAGACUGCCGGUGACAAACCGGAGGAAGGUGGGGAUGACGUGUCGUUACCUUA
RNAcentral lists this unclassified non-coding RNA (221 nucleotides) under uncultured Gammaproteobacteria bacterium. RNAcentral's name for it is "contains 16S-23S intergenic spacer region". It matches the Rfam family "Bacterial small subunit ribosomal RNA", at positions 980 to 1197 of the family's 1533-position model. The record is from RNAcentral. Lineage: Bacteria; Pseudomonadati; Pseudomonadota; Gammaproteobacteria.